GACCUUUCACAAUUGGUCUUUAGGAUCUAUAUUCGGAAUGUCAGGCUUGCCUGACUAUGACGAUAAACGUUUCUCGUAAUAAACGUUCGGACCCGGGGGCGGUACCCGGCGCCUCCACCAAAUUCACGAGUCAUGUGGCCUCGCCACAACUGCGAUGGGGGCGAAACAGGAUCGACGGGCGCGUAAAGGAUGAACUUUCGUUCGGUAUGGUACCACCGAUAUCGGGCCAUAUUCAUAGGUGCCAACGAUAAUGUUGAAACCUUCGCUGUAGCUGCCUAACACGCAGAAGCAAGCGCGGUUCGGGGGGCACCGGGCAACAGAAGCCCUCCACU
RNAcentral lists this transfer-messenger RNA (332 nucleotides) under Alphaproteobacteria bacterium. It matches the Rfam family "Alphaproteobacteria transfer-messenger RNA". From Rfam's summary of the family: Bacterial tmRNA, also known as 10Sa RNA or SsrA, is named for its dual tRNA and mRNA-like properties. The record is from RNAcentral. Lineage: Bacteria; Pseudomonadati; Pseudomonadota; Alphaproteobacteria.